Molecule: ribosomal RNA, 614 nt
Filed under: uncultured Arthrobacter sp.
Lineage: Bacteria; Bacillati; Actinomycetota; Actinomycetes; Micrococcales; Micrococcaceae
Description: bacterial SSU rRNA
Rfam family: Bacterial small subunit ribosomal RNA
Source: RNAcentral
AGGUCUACACGCGACGACGGGUAGCCGGCCUGAGAGGGUGACCGGCCACACUGGGACUGAGACACGGCCCAGACUCCUACGGGAGGCAGCAGUGGGGAAUAUUGCACAAUGGGCGAAAGCCUGAUGCAGCGACGCCGCGUGAGGGAUGACGGCCUUCGGGUUGUAAACCUCUUUCAGUAGGGAAGAAGCGAAAGUGACGGUACCUGCAGAAGAAGCGCCGGCUAACUACGUGCCAGCAGCCGCGGUAAUACGUAGGGCGCAAGCGUUAUCCGGAUUUAUUGGGCGUAAAGAGCUCGUAGGCGGUUUGUCGCGUCUGCCGUGAAAGUCCGAGGCUCAACCUCGGAUCUGCGGUGGGUACGGGCAGACUAGAGUGAUGUAGGGGAGACUGAAAUUCCUGGUGUAGCGGUGAAAUGCGCAGACAUCAGGAGGAACACCGAUGGCGAAGGCAGGUCUCUGGGCAUCUACUGACGCUGAGGAGCGAAAGCAUGGGGAGCGAACAGGAUUAGAUACCCUGGUAGUCCAUGCCGUAAACGUUGGGCACUAGGUGUGGGGAACAUUCCACGUUUUCCGCGCCGUAGCUAACGCAUUAAGUGCCCCGCCUGGGGAAGUACGGA